Molecule: long non-coding RNA, 1875 nt
Filed under: Daucus carota (carrot)
Lineage: Eukaryota; Viridiplantae; Streptophyta; Magnoliopsida; Apiales; Apiaceae
Description: long non-coding RNA (DCAR_LNC003903)
Source: RNAcentral
UCGUGUGACUCAAUGCUUUGGCUCAAUUGGUGGCCAUGUUUGGUAUCUUGGAGUUGCGAAACCUUCUCUGCUGGAUCCUGACCAAGUUGAGGGUGACAGGGGAUCAAAUGUUGUACAAUCUCAUGAUGGUCAUUUCUACAUGCCACCUGCAAUAGAAGAUGUACGUGUUUUCAGAUUUUCAGGUCGGAAGUUUGUGAAGUUGAAUAUGGGUACAUGGCAUGCUGGACCGUUAUUUGAUCCACAAAUGAAGAUGGACUUUUACAACCUUGAACUCAGCAAUACUCAUGUGAGUUUUUCUAUCCCUAUUUUCUCACUACCUCUGUACCUCAAUGCGGUUUGCUCUGUGAAGCUGUUUAUACAUCAAAAUAUGACAUCUUUCUUUCGUAUAUAUGUAAUAAUCAAAUGUCAAUGAACUUCCUGACUUAGCAUCACUCUGUUUGCAGCAUGUAGAGCAGACAACGCAUUAUUUCAGGAAGGAUUGCGGAGAAGUAAAAAACGGAAAAGUGAUGUUCACCUUUGUUGAGUAGUUCAUCUAGUUCUCAAACAAAGCAAGUAUGCAGCAUCACUUCUGCAACCUGAAAAUAACUACGGCUGUAAUACCAUGUUAAGUGAUCAGUUAUCCUAAACCUCAAAGUGUUAGGAGGUGGGCAUAUCAGGAUCAUACUGGAUCAACGUUUUCAUUAAAAUCUUGUACUGUAUUUUUUUAAUUCUUGCUACACCCUUUCUAAACCACUGCACUACACUUGUAUAUUCUAUUCUUGUAAUACGUAUUCUAAGUGCUUUGCAAUCUUGUGAUCUUGGAAUACUUGUUUAGUGACUAAUUGUGAUUUCUUUAAUCAUAACUUAAUUAGCAUGUUGUGAAUAAACAAUGCUAUCAUAACAAUAAUCGAUCUACACCAGCUAAACCAAGAUCUAGUGUUACAUAGUAUCCACUUUUGGUCAACUCAUUGCAUACUUUGUGGACAGAGGAAAAUGGCGAGUUCUGGUAAAACUGUGGAAGAAAUAAAAUUGGAAACAAUUGAAGGAACCGCGGAGAGUUUCAAAGAAUUUGGCCAGGUUAUUGGUCCUACUCCGGAUGAUGAAGACUUUGGACCGCAAGAUGCUCAGCUUGUUCUCAGCGAAGGAAUCCCCAGGUCCCUCCUCUUUCUCCCUUCUUAGAGUUAGAGUUCUUGUCGAAUCUUGGUGAUGUGAUAGUUUUUAAACUGAUGGCAUCCUUAGAAUAUAAUGAGUUAGCAACAUAGCAUUGUUAUUUUUUCUCAAUUAGAAGGAUAUAUGCUAUGGAAUGUCGUAGAUGAUUAUACCUGGAAUAAGACUUCUGGUAAUAGAAUUUUAGUUAAUGCCUUUUAUUGUAAGAAUUCUUGUUUAGUUAUGAAACAUUAAACACCAUGAUCCCCUAAAAGGAAAUCAAGAAGCAUAGAAACUUUAGAAAAGUACGAGAUCUGAUGUGUAUAGGACACGAGUCAAUCACAACGUUGGCCAAGAGUUGGACUUGGGGUUUUCUGCUUAUUCUGAUAAUGCAUUAUUUUUGCAUGAUAGCAGGUUGUAUAUUAUGACUCUUGAUUGUCGUUCACUCAAAUUUUCUUCCAUAACGCAUCAUGCACGCGUGACUCAAUGCCUUGGCUCGAUUGGUGGCCACGUUUGGUAUCUUGGAGUCGCGAAGCCUUCUCUGGUGGAGCCUGACCAAGUUGAGGCUGACAAGGGAUCAAAUGCUGUACAAUCUCAUGAUGGUCAUUUCUACAUACCACCUGCAAUUGAAGAUGUACGUGUUUUCCGAUUUUCAGGUCCAAAGUUUGUGAAGUUGAAUAUGGGUACAUGGCAUGCUGGGCCGUUAUUCAAUCCACAAAUCAAGAUGGACUUUUACAACCUGGAACUCAG